GUCCACUUUGUAGACAGUAUGAUUUUAAAAACUACUGCCUCUCCAAAGAUUCCAUCCAUAUGCUAGAUGGUCCUGUGCCAACAACACUCAACAUCAAGUGCAACUCAACUGAUCUUUGUGGGCAAGCAGAAGUCUGUUUCCCUCCCUUGCCAUCAGCAUCCAGAAAUGUUCGGUCUAAGCCCCAGAACUUCUACCAACAACAACAAAAAGCAACAUCUCUACAGUGGAAAGCCUGGAAGGCUACACUGCCAGGGCUGGGGACUGGAAACAGAGUCAAGUAACUUGUCCAGGCUCCUGAGUGGCCAGGAGAGGCCCAUUUACAUUUGGCCACUGAUCAUCAAAGGGAAGAGGCUGCCCUCCAGAUCCUCAACUUCUGCAGAGUCAGCUCAAUCCAUUGGCAGAACUGCCCAGCUGUGCCCAACACAUGGCUGGACUGGAGUCAGUACAGCUGUUGCCCACUUCCUAAAUCCUGGGGUCCUGGAAGAGAGGCUGCUUGUUAGCCUGUCUCUCAUUGAGCCUGGAGCUUUCCAAUUCACCCAGACUGGCUGGUUAGCAGGCUCCGAGGGUUCCCCAUCUCUGCC
RNAcentral lists this long non-coding RNA (581 nucleotides) under Cricetulus griseus (Chinese hamster). RNAcentral describes it as "lncRNA (ENSCGRG00015035775.1)". The record is from RNAcentral. Lineage: Eukaryota; Metazoa; Chordata; Mammalia; Rodentia; Cricetidae.